RNAcentral lists this ribosomal RNA (779 nucleotides) under uncultured Neocallimastigales. RNAcentral describes it as "partial large subunit ribosomal RNA". It matches the Rfam family "Eukaryotic large subunit ribosomal RNA", at positions 23 to 640 of the family's 3401-position model. The record is from RNAcentral. Lineage: Eukaryota; Fungi; Neocallimastigomycota; Neocallimastigomycetes; Neocallimastigales.
AGAGAUGUGUGAUGACGCAUAUCAAUAAGCGGAGGAAAAGAAACUAACAAGGAUUCCCUUAGCAACGGCGAGUGAAGCGGGAAGAGCUCAAAUUUGAAAUCUUCAAGGUUCUACCUUGACGAAUUGUAGUUUAUAGAAGUGUUUUCUGUUAGUAGAGUGGCAAAAGUUCUUUGGAAUAGGACAUCAUAGAGGGUGAGAAUCCCGUAUUUGGUCAUUCUUUCUAGCUUUGUGAUACACUUUCAAAGAGUCGGAUUGUUUGGGAAUGCAGUCCAAAAUGGGUGGUAAAUUUCAUCUAAAGCUGAAUAUUGGCGAGAGACCGAUAGCGAACAAGUACCGCUGAGGGAAAGAUGAAAAGAACUUUGAAAAGAGAGUUAAACAGUACGUGAAAUUGUCAAAAGGGAAGCGUUUGACACCAGUGUUGUUUUUCCGAAAAUCAAUUACGAAUGUUUUAUUUUUAGAGAGUUAUGACUUCAUCGGCUUGCUUCUUUCUUUACUGAAACUUUCUUAAUGCACUUUUCGGUUAACAAGUCAACAUCAAUUUCUUUUGUUGUAAAAGGGUAUGAGGAAGGUGGCUUGCUCUUCGGCGCAAGUGUUUAUAGCCUUGUACCCUCUGCAAUCGGAGAGAUUGAGGUCUGCAGCGUAGAUCCUUCGGGGUUAGAUACAUUUGUGCUAAGCUAGUAGCUUUUCAUAGACAACUUGUUGACUAUGCUACAGUCAUGUAGCUUACUCGCUUAUGCUAUUUUACCUACGCUUAGGAUGUUGACAGCAGUAUAGACUGU